Molecule: ribosomal RNA, 1503 nt
Filed under: Triticum aestivum (bread wheat)
Lineage: Eukaryota; Viridiplantae; Streptophyta; Magnoliopsida; Poales; Poaceae
Description: partial small subunit ribosomal RNA
Source: RNAcentral
AUGCGUGGGCAUCUCAUGUUCUUCACCUCUGCUUGGCAGCUCCAGAAGCCACUUGUUCUUGCUGUGAACAGUAAUGGGCAGACUGCAUUGAUGGUUGCUGUAAUUCAUGGGUUUCCUGAUAUUGUUACACAUACAGUUUCACUUUUGAGAGGUCAACAAGUUUUGGAAGAAGCUCUAUUGGUAGCCGAUGAUGCUGGAUACAAUGUGUUACAUCAUGCUAUAAGAUGUGGGUAUCAGGACCUAGCACUAAAGCUGAUUGGGGAAGCUCCCGAGUUGUCCAAAGCGAUAAGCAGAAUGGAUGAAUCACCAAUGUAUAUUGCCACACUCAAGAAUUACAAGGAAAUUUUUGAGCAGCUUAUCGUUAUUACAGACUCUGCUGACUGCGGUCAACAUGGCAACAAUGCCUUGCAUGCAGCUGUGAGAAAUGGAAAUGAAGACAUUGUGAAAACAAUCAUGGAGCAUCGCCCAUCGAUGGCAAAAGUUGAGGACAGUGUUGGGAUAUCUCCAGUGAGAUUGUCAGUGAUCACUUGUAGAACUGAGGUUCUUCGAGUAUUUCUGAAGACGGAUUUCUUGCUUGGGUAUGAAAUUAGCAAUGCAGGCCAACCUCUCCUUGUAUCAGCGGCUUCGCAUGGUGCAAUUGAUGUAGCUAAAGAGCUGCUCCUACAUUGCCCUGACGCUCCAUAUGAGAACAGUACCACUGGAGUGACCUGUCUUCACGAAGCUAUUGUUUCAGAGCACGAAGAGUUCUUAAACUUUAUUAUAUGUGCCCCGCAGCUGCGCGCUCUCAUCAACCUGCGUGACAAGGAGGGGAAGACAGCGCUUCAUCACGCUGUUCUCAAAUGCAGGCCUAAAUUGGUUGGAAGUAUAUUAUCCCACAAGGAUAUUGACAUUUCUAUACUUGAUGAGGAGGGUCACUCUGCCGCAUGGGAACUGAAGUAUGCGUACAGCGAGGCGAAAACACUCGAAUGGAAUGAGAUCUGCAUGCUUCUUUCAAAGGCUGAUCCUCGCGAUAGCUUCUCCAUCCAUUUUUUGCAAAAGGAAGCGAGGAUAAACGCAGUCAAUGCAUCUAGAUUGGAUUCAAAGUCAUUGAGCAAGACCUACACAAGUAAUACAGCGAUCAUUGCGACUCUUAUCGCCACUAUCACGUUUGCAGCCUUGUUCACGGUGCCCGGUGGCUAUAGCUCAGACCCGGGAAGCGCAGUAGCUUUUCUCUGUGUUCUUUAUCGUUGGGGCGACUACAGAUUCUUGGUGCAUUAUUUGGCUGUCACAAAGCUGCUAAUGUGGGUCUCGUAUGCGUUCACACUUGUAGCUUUCACUAUUGGGAUGUUCAUAUUGUUGGCGCCACAUCACUUGUGGUUGGCCAUUCUCAUUCUUUGCUGUGGAGCUCUUGUCCCGCUGGCGACAAAGAUUGUUGGUGAAUGGCCUGUUCUAAUGCUGAUGCUGAGAUCUCGGCUAGGUGGAGGCCCCAGCACCUACAGGGGUCAGCUCCUUGACAUUGUUUGA